CUUGAAAUCCAGAUUGUCAAAUAAUUCGCCUUCUAUAUUUCGGAAAGCUGAUCUUUUCUUUCUGUGUUUACAGUCCAAAGUCAAUGCAUCAUAUGCGACAAAUGACUGUCAUCACGCCCUAUGCCCAAUUCAUUUUCCAAUUCAUAUCAGAUUCUCCUGAGUACUUUCUCUGUCCCCCAUCUCCCUUCUCAUCUCCCCUUUCUUUUAAAUUUUAGUUAAUUUGUUUGUGCAAGCUACAAGCAUGCCCAAAAUUAUGAGUUCGUAAAAUAUGUGCUGCAUUCUUCGGUUUCACUCUAGUUUUGAAUUGAUUGUAAGAAUAAUGUGCUUAUAAGGUUCACUAGAAGAACAUACGUAAUAAUGCCUUCAGUUCCUCUUGAAACCAAGUACCAUCCAUCUGUUGUGGACAUACUUUUUAUCAAACGGCUUAUAACGGAAACAUCAAAACAAACUCUUUUGUAGUUUUCCUUCAGCAUGAAUUUGUAAACAAUGGGAAGUCUAAUGCAGAAUGUUAAUCGGUGAGAACUUGAAACUGAUGGCAUUCAUCUGUGUGAGAUUCCUUGAUAAAAUAAAAUUAGUUGGCUCUAUGGUUUAUUGACCAUUGAAAAUAGUUUAUCUAUUGCUUGCAUUCUAUUCAACAACUACUAGACGACAGUUUAUUAUACUGGUUACGUACUACUCAGUGCUCACCAACUCAAUGCAGUUGGAAAAGAUAUAACAUUUGUCAUAGUGAUAGAAGAGUAGGUGGAGUUUUUUUUUUUGGAACUGGUAACUGUAAAGUAGGUCGAUGUUUUUAAGGUCACACAUUGUUGCCAUUAGCCAACAGAAGAGAAUCGACCACAUUGAAGGCAUGUUGAAGGCAUUAAAAUGAAAUAGGCUCUUCCUUUUUAAUCGCUCAAGAUUUCAUGAGGUGGAACUUACUUCAGCAAUGAUACACUAAAUGCGUUGUUUAUCAAGUUAGUCUUCAGAUUUUCAGCCUGGGAAACAACCGUAUUACACUACUGUGAGAGAACUUGUUUAGGAUGCACUUGAUUCUGCUGAAUCCAUCUCUGAACUUCGAGUUGUAGAGAUAACCAUUGAAGAGUUUGGUAGAAGUAAAUUUAAUCCCAUGAUUGGUGAUCAUGAGAGAUGAAGGCGUAUAUGAUGAUUUUGAGACAUCCAAGGCUCGUGAGGUAAGUAAAUAGUGAUUUACUCUCACUUAGAUGGUGUAUUGAUAUUUUAUGCUCACUGUUGACAUUUAGCAAAUUUCAUUAGUGAAAUACUUUUCUAACAAAUUUUAUUAGAUGGCAUUGUGAUGUUUCUAACUACUGAGUCUAGAAAAGACUUCCCAAGGAAGCUUGAGUUCUAGAGAUCCAAGCAAAGAAUGUUGCUCUUAGGAAGAAAGUAAAAGACGACCCUGCAGCUACAAAGGCAGCUAAGAGUUGGGAAGCAUUAUAUUAUAGGGUGACAUGCAAGGUCUGAUCUCUUCUAUAUGCCGAUUCUGCUCUAAGUAUGCAAAGCAAGAAAAGUACAUUGUUGACUUAAAUAAAUUUGACAAGUUAGUGGAA
Molecule: long non-coding RNA, 1544 nt
Organism: Solanum pennellii
Lineage: Eukaryota; Viridiplantae; Streptophyta; Magnoliopsida; Solanales; Solanaceae
Exons: 2
Source: RefSeq, a predicted model, not a curated record